GGUAAAAUAAUUUAUUUAGAAUACUUAGUUUGCAUCUAAGAAGAAGAUAGUUCUUUUUACCU
RNAcentral lists this transfer RNA (62 nucleotides) under Planorbella pilsbryi. RNAcentral describes it as "tRNA-Ala". Lineage: Eukaryota; Metazoa; Mollusca; Gastropoda; Planorbidae. The record is from RNAcentral.